Molecule: long non-coding RNA, 5264 nt
Filed under: Sus scrofa (pig)
Lineage: Eukaryota; Metazoa; Chordata; Mammalia; Artiodactyla; Suidae
Description: lncRNA (ENSSSCG00000054812.1, ENSSSCG00105038216.1, ENSSSCG00110033089.1, ENSSSCG00175039834.1)
Source: RNAcentral
ACCAUGGGAAAGUGAUCUGGCUUUUACCUCACUUGCAUUGGAGCCCAGGCUCACCCGACAGACAGGAGCUCAUCACCAUCGUGUCAUGGACAGCCCUCCCUCCCUUCACAGACUCCCAUCCUCACCCAAGUCCCCCUCCCCCUGCCCAUGUCCAGUGUGUGUCCUGGAGCCAUAAUGGGACCAGGCAGAAGAGACCAGAGAGGAAGCACAUGCAAAUAACAUGUACGUUACCCCUUCGUAGGAACUGCUUCGGAUGCAAGUAGAUGAUUCUGCAGAGGACCAGGGCAGGGCCCAGGGACAGAAGCUGAGCCUUAUUUAAAAACGACAGUAGAUGUCUGUAUUUGUUUGGCAGUGUGGAUCGCGGGGGCAGGGGGCACCUCGGUGAGGUGCGUAGCUUCUCUGAUGGGGCCUGGGAGCAGAACAAAUGGGGGCCACUGGUAUCUCAUCCGCCCCAAGCUGAGGAGCAUGAACUCUCCCAUCCUCGAGCAGCACCUGGUGCUGGAGGAAAAAUCAACCCCAAGCAAGUCCUCGGAGAGCAAGCAGCUUCUUCACGAGAGGGGCCACCGGGGGCAUGCGGGAAAGUCAUCAGGGUAACCAGCCUUAAUAAAGGUAGAAGAUGAAAUGCGAGAGGGGUGGGUUGGAGCAGGGGGAGUUGGAGCGAAGGAAAUGAUUGCCGGAGAAACAGAUGCAAUUGAACAAGACUCGUGGAGAUGGAUUUCCCUGCCUUGGUCCAAACUCAAAUCCCUGUGCUCAGAUUAAUUAGCAAGGAAAUAUUUUCCUGUCUGCAGAAAAAGACUGCUGGAUUGCCAGUGGGACAGGAGGGUGGGCAGUCUAUCAAAUAACUACUAAUUAGGUUACUUCCCACUGCUGUUGACAUGCUGGGGACAUGUUCCUGGGCCAAAAUAAAAGGGGGGAGGGGAGAGAAGAACGGAGACAGAGAUAGAGGUACAGGCCAGGAUCGUCUCUGCUCACUGCAGAAAAUUGCUGGCUGGGAUUAGGAAGGAGACCUGGGUCCAAAGGCCAAAGGAGAGAUGACAGAGAGAAGCAAUGCUCUGAUUAGUGGACAGCCUUUGGCCGAGACCUGCACUUGCGUUGCGUGACUUGCUACAAAUGUGCUGGAAAUGUGCAUUGUAUGGCCAGUCACUGGGAAGCCCUGGGUGGAAAUUUGAAUGAUGAUAAUAAUGACAGUGGGUGAUUUUUGAGUGUUUGCUCCCUGUCAGGAGCACCUCAUUCAGUUAGCAAGUAUGAGAUGGGGGUGGCAGAGGGUGGGAGAUUAACAUUAGUUACCUCCUUGUUUCUUAUAACUAAGGAGUAUUUUAGACCCUUUCUAUACAUAAGGUGGAGCUCAGAGAGGUUAAAUAAUUCACCCACAGUCACACAGCAAUAAGUAGUGAAACUGAACACAAGGCAGUCCUACCUCCAGCCCUGUCUGCCCUUAAUCCCCUCUCAAUGGAUACUGCACAUUCAGCAAAUGCAUUGUCUUCCUUUGCCUGAGUUCCCUAACUCUGCCCUAAAAUUCUCAAGGCAUAUUUUUCAAUGUGUCACAUGCAGGAACUUUAACUAUAUUGCAGGAGGGGCACCACCCUAUUUCCUGAGGUCUGAGGCCAUUAUCUAGCUCCUUAUUUUAGGGAACUAAAUAGAGAGAGUUGGACGACCCAAUCCACAAGCAGCACCAUCAAGCCAUCUACAUUGUGCACUGUGGAGUUUGCUUAUUUCCUUACCUUCUGUCUUCAUCGCAGACGGGGCCGUGAGUGGCUCAGCUACUGGGUGAAGUGGCUGAUGGCUGUGCCUUCUCCUGGGCUGGUCCAUCCUCCAUUCUCCACCCUUUUCCUGUGAACAGAGUUGGAGCACAGGAUACCCCACUGCUCUCUGGGGUGAGCUUCCCACCCAAAGAGUCCUGUUCUACCCUGUUGUUUCUCUCUUUCUUCCCUCAAAGCUCCUCCUGCUAUGGAAGGAGCUUUUUGUAGCCUGUGCACUAGAUUGCAAGUUUCUCGAGGCCGAGACUAUGUCAUGUUCACCUUUGAGUUCCCUGAACUUAAUAUUGUACCGGGGACUUUGCGAUGCGUGUUGCAUGCGUGGACGCUGAAUCAGGGAGUAAAUGCCUGAACAGCUUUAUGUGGCUCACAUCCAGCCUGCCUCUAAAGAUUUCCCUAAUUUUGCAUAUUGUACCCCCACUGCAGUCCUGGAGUCUAAAUAUUCUCUGCUAAGUCUGGUGGCAAGAUGACAGUGCUCCCAAGAUGCCCUUUCCCCCUGGGUGCCUCCAGGUUCCUUCUUAAUAUUGAAAGAGUGGGGACUUUGUACAGAGAUGUCGCUGCUGCUCCAGGCAGUAAAUGGGGCUCAGGCGCUGCUGCCGGUCCUUUCGGGCCUUGGAAAGGCAGCUCCAGACCUGAGGGCCUGGGCAACGGGAGGCCGACAGAUGGGGUGGGGAGAUGCAUCAGAGAAGCCGGGAAGGAAAGAGUGUCCAGAAAACCUGCUUCCUUGGAGCAAGCCCUGUGUGAGCAGAAGGAAGCCACGCACAGAGGGGUGAGGGAGCAGAACAAGUGGGUUACCUAAAAAUAGCAGCGCUGGUUUCCCACGUUUCGAGAUGGGUCCUCUGCGAUUCGUCUGGGCUGGUUUGUGCAAGUUUGCUUAUUUAUUGAGAGUCAGAGAAAAGGAGCAAAUCAUUCACCCAACACCUCCGCAAUGAGCAACCAGGCCGAGGGGCUGAGAGGCUUGCAAAACCCAGGAGGCCUGGGACGUGCUGGGGGUGGGCAGACAGGCCUGGGAGCUGCCCUCAGCUGGUUCCUGCUUUUUUGGCAGAGGAGAUGAUGGGUGGGACCUCCUCCAGUCGCAGGGGACUUCUGUGGAAAAGGCACAUGUCACUACUCAAGUGCCCGUGGAUCUGUACGCGUGUGUGUCUCUCUGAGGGAGUCAAGGAGAUGCUGCGACUCAGGCCGCUUGCCCAGCCCCAAGCACACAUAGUAGGUGUUUAAUAAAUGUUAACAAGGGAGUCAAUUAAGUGGGAAUUGAAAUCAGGGCAAGAGGAGGCAGGGGACGAGAAACAAUGAGAAACAGCCGUAGGAUUUCUGAAGAAAAGAGAUGGAUUUUGGAGUCAGGAAGCCAGAGGUUCAAAUCCUAACUCUGCUGUUUGCUAACAUUGUAACCUCAGGCAAGUUACUUCACCUUUCAGAAUCUUAGUCCUCAUCUAUACAUUUUUUACUUUUUUUAUUUUUUAUUUUUGUCUUCUGUCUUUUUAGGGUCAAACCCAAGCUACAGCUGCCGGCCUAUGCCACAGCCAAAGCCACACUGGAUCUGAGCCACAUCUGUGACCUAUACCACAGCUCACAGCAACGCCGGAUCCUUAACCCACUGAGCGAGGCCGGGGAUUGAACUCAUGACCUCGUGGAUGCUAGUGGGGUUCAUUAACCACUGAGCCAGAACGGGAGCUCCUAUACAUUUUUUAAAGAGGGGGGAUAAUAAUACCUAUCCAAUAGGAUUGCUGGGAUUAUUACAUGAAAUUAUAUAUGGAAAGUACCUAUACAAGGCUGAGGUCAAAAAAUUGGAGCUAUUUUUCUUUUUAUUAUCAUUUGUUAUAAAUAGCAUCAGUGAGGAUCCUCAGGUUAUUAACAGGAUAUCACUUUAGAGAAGAACUCAAAUCAAAGAUGUCAAUUUUCCCCAGAUUGAUCAACAGAUUUUAAAUUCCAAUGAAAACACCAAUAAGCUUUUUUAAAAUAGAAGUUGACAAACGUUCUCUAAAAUAUCAAUGGAAAUGCAAAGGCUUCAUAAUAAACCAAAAUGUUUUUUAAAAGACCAAAGUUGGAAAGGUUGUCCUACCACAUUUCAAGACUUAAAAGCUACAGCAGUAAAGUACUGGCAUAUUUAUUUAUUUAUCCAUGUAUUUGUCUUUUUAGGGCCACACCCUUGACACCUGGAAGUUCCCAGGUUAGGGGUCGAAUCAGAGCUGCAGCUGCCAGCCUACACCACAGCCAUAGCAAUGCGGGAUCUGAACCUCGUCUGCGACCUACACCACAGCUCACGGCCACGCUGGAUCCCUGACCCACUGACCAAGGCCAGGGAUGGAACCCGAAACUAUGAGGGUGUUUUAUGAGUGAGAUCAACCUUUAAAUAAAUAGACUGAAUAAAGUAGAUAACCCUCCUUAAUGUCAGUGGAGGGUGGGAGGGUCUCAUCCUAUCAUUCGAAGCCUAAUUAGAACAAAAAGGCUGGUGCUCCCUUGAAUAAGAAAGGAUUCCUCCUGCUGGCUUGCUUUUGAGCUGGGACAUUGGGUUUUUUCUUGCCUUCAGACUUAAGCUGAAACAUCAGCUUUUCCUGGGUCUCAAGCCUAGCAGCUUUCAGAUGAGAACCACACCAUCAGCUCUUCUGAGUCUCCAGGUUGCCAGCUCGCUCUGCAGAUCUUGGGACUUGGCAGCUUCCAUAAUCACAGGAGCCAGUUCCUCACAAUAUACCUCUUUCCUUAAAGAUAUUGAUAUUCCCCUACUGGUGUUCUUUCUCUGAAGAAUCCAGACUAAUUCAGACUAGAAUUUUGUUCAUUGAAAGACAUAGCAGUAGACUGAAUAUUGGUCUUCCGCAAAGGUCCAUGUCCUAAUCUUGGAACCCGUGAAUGUGUUACCUUACAUAGUAAUAGAGACUUUGCAGAUGUGAUUGAGUCAAGGAUCUUGGGACAGUGAUAUUUUCCUGGGCCUAAUAUAAUCACAAAGGACCUUUUAAAAGGGAGGCGGGAGGGUCAGGGUCAGAGAGGAGAUGUGAUGCAGAAGAUGGAACGAGGCAGGGCCACCAGCCCUCAAGUGUAUGCAGCCGCUAGAAACUAGAAAAGGCAAGGGAAUCGAUUCGUCUCUCCAACCUCCAGGAGGGUGCUGCCCUGCCAACACUUUGAUUUUAGCCCUGUGAAAUUGACCGACUUCCAGAACUAUAAAACAAUAUAUUUGUGUUGUUUUUAGCCACUAAGUUUGUGAUAACUAGUUACAGCACAAUAGGAAAUGAAUACAGACCCUGUUAAGAAUACACACAGACACAGACAUAGGACUUGUACUAAGAAUACAUGAAAAGGGAGUUCCUGUCGUGGCGCAGCUGAAACAGAUCCAACUAGUAUCCAUGAGGAUGCGGGUUUGAUCCCUGGCCUCGCUCACUGGGUUAAGGAUCUGGUACUGCCAUGAGCUGUGGUGUAGGUCGAAGAUGCGGCUUGGAUCCUUCAUUACUGUGGCUCUGGCGUAGGCCGGCAGCUGUAGCUCUGAUUGCACCCCUAGCCUGGGAACUUCCAUAUGCUGCA